This 373-nucleotide ribosomal RNA is filed under the name uncultured organism. RNAcentral describes it as "partial 16S ribosomal RNA". It matches the Rfam family "Bacterial small subunit ribosomal RNA", at positions 527 to 896 of the family's 1533-position model. The record is from RNAcentral.
GUAGGUGGCAAGCGUUGUCCGGAAUUAUUGGGCGUAAAGCGCGCGCAGGCGGUCCUUUAAGUCUGAUGUGAAAGCCCACGGGCUCAACCGUGGAGGGUCAUUGGAAACUGGGGGACUUGAGUACAGAAGAGGAAAGCGGAAUUCCAAGUGUAGCGGUGAAAUGCGCAGAGAUUUGGAGGAACACCAGUGGCGAAGGCGGCUUUCUGGUCUGUAACUGACGCUGAGGCGCGAAAGCGUGGGGAGCAAACAGGAUUAGAUACCCUGGUAGUCCACGCCGUAAACGAUGAGUGCUAAGUGUUAGGGGGUUUCCGCCCCUUAGUGCUGCAGCUAACGCAUUAAGCACUCCGCCUGGGGAGUACGGCCGCAAAGGCUG